AAGGUCCUCAUCACUUUCCUACUCUUCUUCAGCGGUCACAGCUUCAGUCUUUGGAUAGAUUGCCUUUGAAGUCAAUAGGAGAAGCCACGUGUUCAUCAAAAUAUGGAAGUUAUCUUUCUCAUUAACCUUGAGAAGCUUCAUCGAUUACUGGCAAUCCAGUUUGACUUGAGUGGAACCCUGUCACCAAGGUGAUUGUGCAGCUGGUUUUCCAGUGUUUCUAAUACUAAAUUUCUGUGAGCUUUCUGUUCAACUCCUAUUUCUUCUGAUACUGGCUCAGCAAUUGGAUCACCCCUGUGGCCGUUUAAGGACAAGAUGGGUUGGCUGGCUGAGCUCCUGGACGUCACAACUCCUGCUGUGGAGAUAGUUGCUUGUAGCACCUCCAGCGCUACUGUUGCAGCUUCAGAUAUCAUUUGUUUCCAAACAACUAGUCUCAACUUCUUGUUCUCUGGAUAACGUACUUGCCUCGUGGAAGCUACUGCAGCAACAUGAAAGAGAAGGGAGUUAUCACAGCUGAAGCCUGUGGCCCUAUUUGACUCCUGCUGGAGGAAAGCUAAACAUGCAAAUCAGGCAGCGGCUGAUGAUACAGCAGGGUGCAAUAUACACAGGAAGGAAAACAAAGAGAGAUGAGUCCUGACAGCAGAGAAAUUACAUCUGGCUUCAUCUGAGGGCACAGACCUGGCCCCGGCUGCCCCAAGAUCACUGCACACUGCCAGCCAAGCUGUUCUCAUGCUUAAUUUACAGCCUACAAGGUUCGUGCAUCACCUAAUGAAAAAUCUCGAUGGGAACUUUGCAGGAGAAAGUAGGACAGUUGGCACAUUAUUCACGUUUCAGCAGAGGAGGGGAGAGCUCCUUUUGCCAUGAGAACUGACCUCGUGGUGGUUUGACCUGCACAGAGGGCUGUCAUUGGGGCUUUGUGAUCAUU
RNAcentral lists this long non-coding RNA (922 nucleotides) under Coturnix japonica (Japanese quail). RNAcentral describes it as "lncRNA (ENSCJPG00005020182.1)". The record is from RNAcentral. Lineage: Eukaryota; Metazoa; Chordata; Aves; Galliformes; Phasianidae.